RNAcentral lists this long non-coding RNA (1120 nucleotides) under Nicotiana benthamiana. RNAcentral describes it as "long non-coding RNA (NBEN_LNC016031)". The record is from RNAcentral. Lineage: Eukaryota; Viridiplantae; Streptophyta; Magnoliopsida; Solanales; Solanaceae.
UUUAUGUCUCAUUCUAAUUAAAGAUCCCCACGCGCACACACUCAGAAAAGAGAACGGACAGAGAGAACGGCAGUAACCCCACCCCUUCAAAAAAAAAUCACUCCAACCAUGAAUCUCAAGAUCUAGGACCUAAUUUUUGCAGCACCCCCUUUACGCUCAAAAACAACUUCAAGGUUGAACUCAAGUCCGUCGCGGUCGGUGUGGAAGUUCUUCGGUCGAUUGUUCCUAUUGGUUGAGUUCAUUUGUUGCUCAUUUUGGUCGUUGUCACAUCUGGUCUAUUUUGUUACAAGCUCUCAACUUCAGAUUCAUUAAUAAAGGUAUUUUUCAAGAAGAAACGUAUGCUACUUUGUUAUUGUCAAAUCACUGUUUGGUGUCUGAGAGUAUUUGAGUUAAAUAUACUGGAGCGUGGACAGUUUCUUGUUGGAAUCUUUAUGCUAUAGUUAAGAUGGGUUAUUAUUUUUGUUUUGUUUUCUUUGUUGGGUAGCAAAGCAAGAGUGGCAACUGGCUAAUUGGAUUUUUAUUGCCUAAUGAUUUGGUUUAAGAUUUUUCUACUUGGGAAUUUUAGCACUCACUGGAUGUGAGAUUGGUUAAUUGCGAAGGUGUGUAAUAAUUUUCGGGUAUGUUUAAUAGUUUUGGGAGGUGAAUCUUUGAGGAAUAUAUUUUGUUUGGUCAUUAUUACUUCGUUCUGGGCUUUCAUUGUUCCUUCUCCUAAAUUUCAGUUUUGGUUAACUGCACCAAAUAAGUUCCGGUUCGAGUUCAAGGUUCCGGUCUAAAGUCGAUUUUGGGUCUAGGAUCUAUGAUGAGUGGUCGUUGUAUGAAUUUUGCUAGAAGCUAUGUUCAACGAAAAAUUGUUGCUUCAGUUAAGGUCCAUUAUCAAUUGUUUUUUUUCUAUAGAUUAGUUGAAUAUUAUGUUUAUUUGCUUCUGAUUAAUUACUUUGUUUUAGUUGAGUAUCUUGAAUGCUUGUUUGAAUGUUGAUCGGGACUUUAUGAUAUAUUUUUUUGGUUUCGAGUAAUUCCAUGUAUAUAUGUUUCUAGUGAACUCAAUCUUCAUUGUUUUGACUUUCUAUGCUUGUGUCGGUCGUGAGCCUUUAAGAUUCACUACAUAGUUCCUAGAUGAUUA